This 334-nucleotide ribosomal RNA is filed under the name uncultured eukaryote. RNAcentral's name for it is "partial 18S ribosomal RNA". It matches the Rfam family "Eukaryotic small subunit ribosomal RNA", at positions 1470 to 1796 of the family's 1831-position model. The record is from RNAcentral.
CCCUUAGAUGUCCGUGGCCGCACGCGCGCUACACUGAAGGAAUCAGCGUGGCUUUCUCCCUGACCCGAAAGGGUUGGGAAACCCGUUGAAUCUCCUUCGUGAUAGGGAUUGGGGCUUGAAAUUGUUCCCCAUGAACGAGGAAUUCCCAGUAAGCGCGAGUCAUAAGCUCGCGUUGAUUACGUCCCUGCCCUUUGUACACACCGCCCGUCGCUACUACCGAUUGAACGGUUUAGUGAGGGCCUCGGAUUGGUCUCGGCCCGCUCUUUACCGGGCGGCGCCGUUGGUCGAGAAGACGCUCGAACUUGAUCGUUUAGAGGAAGUAAAAGUCGUAACA